Molecule: ribosomal RNA, 421 nt
Filed under: uncultured bacterium
Lineage: Bacteria
Description: bacterial SSU rRNA
Rfam family: Bacterial small subunit ribosomal RNA
Source: RNAcentral
UCAGGCCUAACACAUGCAAGUCGAACGGUAACAGGCCGCAAGGUGCUGACGAGUGGCGAACGGGUGAGUAAUGCAUCGGAACGUGCCCAGUCGUGGGGGAUAGCGCAGCGAAAGCUGCGCUAAUACCGCAUACGAUCUAUGGAUGAAAGCGGGGGACCGUAAGGCCUCGCGCGAUUGGAGCGGCCGAUGUCAGAUUAGGUGGUUGGUGGGGUAAAGGCUCACCAAGCCAACGAUCUGUAGCUGGUCUGAGAGGACGACCAGCCACACUGGGACUGAGACACGGCCCAGACUCCUACGGGAGGCAGCAGUGGGGAAUUUUGGACAAUGGGCGCAAGCCUGAUCCAGCAAUGCCGCGUGCAGGGAGAAGGCCUUCGGGUUGUAAACUGCUAUUGUACGGAACGAAAAGGUUCGGGUUAAUACC